GAUGAACGCUGGCGGCGUGCCUAAUACAUGCAAGUCGAGCGAACAGACGAGGAGCUUGCUCCUCUGACGUUAGCGGCGGACGGGUGAGUAACACGUGGAUAACCUACCUAUAAGACUGGGAUAACUUCGGGAAACCGGAGCUAAUACCGGAUAAUAUAUUGAACCGCAUGGUUCAAUAGUGAAAGACGGUUUUGCUGUCACUUAUAGAUGGAUCCGCGCCGCAUUAGCUAGUUGGUAAGGUAACGGCUUACCAAGGCAACGAUGCGUAGCCGACCUGAGAGGGUGAUCGGCCACACUGGAACUGAGACACGGUCCAGACUCCUACGGGAGGCAGCAGUAGGGAAUCUUCCGCAAUGGGCGAAAGCCUGACGGAGCAACGCCGCGUGAGUGAUGAAGGUCUUCGGAUCGUAAAACGCUGUUAUGAGGGAAGAACAAAUGUGUAAGUAACGAUGCACGUCUUGACGGUACCUAAUCAGAAAGCCACGGCUAACUACGU
RNAcentral lists this ribosomal RNA (496 nucleotides) under uncultured bacterium. RNAcentral describes it as "partial 16S ribosomal RNA". It matches the Rfam family "Bacterial small subunit ribosomal RNA", at positions 28 to 506 of the family's 1533-position model. The record is from RNAcentral.